GAUGAACGCUAGCGGCAGGCCUAAUACAUGCAAGUCGAGGGGCAGCAGGGAUAGCAAUAUUCGCUGGCGACCGGCGCACGGGUGCGUAACACGUAUACAAUCUGCCUUUAACAGGGGGAUAGCCCGGAGAAAUCCGGAUUAAUACCCCAUAACAAUGAAAUCAGCAUUGAUUUUAUUUAAAAGCUCCGGCGGUUAGAGAUGAGUAUGCGUCUGAUUAGCUAGAUGGUGAGGUAACGGCUCACCAUGGCGACGAUCAGUAGGGGAUCUGAGAGGAUUAACCCCCA
Molecule: ribosomal RNA, 284 nt
Filed under: uncultured bacterium
Lineage: Bacteria
Description: partial 16S ribosomal RNA
Rfam family: Bacterial small subunit ribosomal RNA
Source: RNAcentral